GACGAACGCUGGCGGCGUGCUUAACACAUGCAAGUCGAACGGGAAGGCCCUGCUUUUGUGGGGUGCUCGAGUGGCGAACGGGUGAGUAACACGUGAGUAACCUGCCCUUGACUUUGGGAUAACUUCAGGAAACUGGGGCUAAUACCGGAUAGGAGCUCCUGCUGCAUGGUGGGGGUUGGAAAGUUUCGGCGGUUGGGGAUGGACUCGCGGCUUAUCAGCUUGUUGGUGGGGUAGUGGCUUACCAAGGCUUUGACGGGUAGCCGGCCUGAGAGGGUGACCGGGACGAGGAGGGGGGGGAGACGGCGACGACGCGGGGGGGGGGCACAAGGGGUGAAUAUUGCAGAGGGGGCGGAGGCCGGAGGCAGCGAGGCCGGGUGGGGAGUGACGGCGUGGGGGUGUUCAACGGCGUGCGGCUGUGAGGAAGCGGGAGUGAGGGUAAGGGAAAAAGAGGCCCCGACAAACUACGUGCCAGCCCCGGGGGAAAUGAGCGGAAAGCACAAACUUGAUC
This 508-nucleotide ribosomal RNA is filed under the name uncultured bacterium. RNAcentral describes it as "partial 16S ribosomal RNA". The stretch from base 13 to 373 matches the Rfam family "Bacterial small subunit ribosomal RNA", at positions 40 to 399 of the family's 1533-position model. The record is from RNAcentral.